UAGAUGCGAGAGUAGAGCAUAUCAAUAAGCGGAGGAAAAGAAACUAACAAGGAUUCCCUUAGUAACGGCGAGUGAAGCGGGAAGAGCUCAAAUUUGAAAUCUUCAAGGUUCUACCUUGACGAAUUGUAGUUUAAAGAAGUGUUUUCUGUUAGAUGAGUAGCAAAAGUUCCUUGGAAUGGGACAUCAUAGAGGGUGAGAAUCCCGUAUUUGGUUAUUCAUUCUAGCUUUGUGAUACACUUUCAAAGAGUCGGAUUGUUUGGGAAUGCAGUCCAAAAUGGGUGGUAAAUUUCAUCUAAAGCUAAAUAUUGGCGAGAGACCGAUAGCGAACAAGUACCGUGAGGGAAAGAUGAAAAGAACUUUGAAAAGGAGAGUUAAACAGUACGUGAAAUUGUCAAAAGGGAAGCGUUUGACACCAGUGUUGUUUUUCCGAAAAUCAAUUACGAAUGGCUUGAUUUUGUGUUGUAUUGACCUUAUCAGCUUUCUGCACUUUUUUCGAGUCUUUCUUAAUGCACUUUUCGGUUAACAAGUCAACAUCAAUUUCUUUUGUUGUAAAAGAGUAUUCGGAAGGUGGCUUUCUUUUCGGAGAAAGUGUUUAUAGCCCUAUACUUCUACAAUCGGAGAGAUUGAGGUCUGCAGCGUAGAUCCUUCGGGGUUAGAUACAUUUGUGCUAAGUUGUAGCUUUUCAUAGACAACUUGUUGACUAUGUUUAGUCAUGCGGCUUACUCGCUUAUGCUAUUUUACCUACGCUUAGGAUGUUGAGCGCAUGUCUCUCUCU
Molecule: ribosomal RNA, 775 nt
Filed under: uncultured Neocallimastigales
Lineage: Eukaryota; Fungi; Neocallimastigomycota; Neocallimastigomycetes; Neocallimastigales
Description: partial large subunit ribosomal RNA
Rfam family: Eukaryotic large subunit ribosomal RNA
Source: RNAcentral